Molecule: ribosomal RNA, 523 nt
Filed under: uncultured bacterium
Lineage: Bacteria
Description: bacterial SSU rRNA
Rfam family: Bacterial small subunit ribosomal RNA
Source: RNAcentral
CAAUACGGAGCGGCAGACUUCCAGAGUAACACGUGGGAACGUACCCUUUGGUUCGGAACAACCCAGGGAAACUUGGGCUAAUACCGGAUAAGCCCUUACGGGGAAAGAUUUAUCGCCGAAGGAUCGGCCCGCGUCUGAUUAGCUAGUUGGUGGGGUAAUGGCCCACCAAGGCGACGAUCAGUAGCUGGUCUGAGAGGACGAUCAGCCUCACUGGGACUGAGACACGGCCCAGACUCCUACGGGAGGCAGCAGUGGGGAAUAUUGGAUAAUGGGCGCAAGCCUGAUCCAGCCAUGCCGCGUGGGUGAUGAAGGCCUUAGGGUUGUAAAGCCCUUUCGGCGGGGAAGAUAAUGACGGUACCCGCAGAAGAAGCCCCGGCUAACUUCGUGCCAGCAGCCGCGGUAAUACGAAGGGGGCUAGCGUUGCUCGGAAUCACUGGGCGUAAAGCGCACGUAGGCGGAUUGUUAAGUCAGGGGUGAAAUCCUGGAGCUCAACUCCAGAACGGCCCUUGAUACUGGCGAUCUC